Non-coding RNA from Vicia faba (fava bean), 258 nucleotides. The record is from the annotation of a GenBank genome assembly. NCBI's taxonomy places the organism in Eukaryota, Viridiplantae, Streptophyta, Magnoliopsida, Fabales, Fabaceae.
AUGCACCAUAAUAAGGUUACUUUCAAGUUGAAAUAUUUUCCAGCUAAACAUCUAAACCAAUGCCGAUGGUAUGUGAAAAGAGAGCAUCUUAUCGAUGUUACUGAAGUGUUUAGAGUACUCAAUGCCGAGAAGAAAUUCCGGAUAGCAAAACUUGCUUUGUACUUAAUAGUCCUCAUUGUCACCAUCUUCAGGCUUACAUUGAUUGGUGUCUACUAUUUAGGCCUCGAACACGAUGAUGACUUGGCAUAUCUUUGGUAA